This 511-nucleotide ribosomal RNA is filed under the name Starmerella bombi. RNAcentral's name for it is "partial large subunit ribosomal RNA". It matches the Rfam family "Eukaryotic large subunit ribosomal RNA", at positions 45 to 659 of the family's 3401-position model. Lineage: Eukaryota; Fungi; Ascomycota; Dipodascomycetes; Dipodascales; Trichomonascaceae. The record is from RNAcentral.
AAAAAGCGGAGGAAAAGAAACCAACAGGGAUUGCCUUAGUAGCGGCGAGUGAACAGGCAAGAGCUCAGAUUUGAAAGCCUUUCGGGGCAUUGUAUUCUGAAGCCUUGGUCCUGGGAAACCGAUGUCUAAGUCUUCUGGAAAGGAGCGCCAUGGAGGGUGAUAGCCCCGUACGACAUUGACCCCACUGUAGGACCUUGGCAUGGAGUCGAGUUGUUUGGGAAUGCAGCUCAAAUGGGUGGUAUGCUCCAUCUAAAGCUAAAUAUCUGCGAGAGACCGAUAGCGAACAAGUACUGUGAAGGAAAGAUGAAAAGAACUUUGAAAAGAGAGUGAAAAAGUACGUGAAAUUGUUGAAAUGGAAGGGUAGGCCGCUAACCACGUAGAGUCGUGUUUGGGGGGAAGAUAAAAGCUGAAGAAUGUAACUCCUUGGAGUAUUAUAGCUUCAGUCCAUAUUCCCACCCGAGCGCGAGGACUUAAGACUCUGCUAAAUGGUGGUCUACCACCCGUCUUGACC